Molecule: ribosomal RNA, 433 nt
Filed under: uncultured bacterium
Lineage: Bacteria
Description: partial 16S ribosomal RNA
Rfam family: Bacterial small subunit ribosomal RNA
Source: RNAcentral
AACGAACGCUGGCGGCAUGCCUAACACAUGCAAGUCGAACGAGACCUUCGGGUCUAGUGGCGCACAGGUGCGUAACGCGUGGGAACCUGCCCUUAGGUUCGGAAUAACUCCCCGAAAGGGGUGCUAAUACCGGAUAAUGUCUUCGGACCAAAGAUUUAUCGCCUUUGGAUGGGCCCGCGUUGGAUUAGCUAGUUGGUAGGGUAAAAGCCUACCAAGGCGACGAUCCAUAGCUGGUCUGAGAGGAUGAUCAGCCACACUGGGACUGAGACACGGCCCAGACUCCUACGGGAGGCAGCAGUGGGGAAUAUUGGACAAUGGGCGAAAGCCUGAUCCAGCAAGGCCGCGUGAGUGAUGAAGGCCUUAGGGUUGUAAAGCUCUUUUACCCGGGAUGAUAAUGACAGUACCGGGAGAAUAAGCUCCGGCUAACUCCGUG